GAGGGUAUAGUUCAGUGGUAGAGUGUUUGCUUAGCAAGCAUGAGAUCCUGGGUUCAAUCCUCAGUCUCCAUU
Molecule: transfer RNA, 72 nt
Filed under: Camelus bactrianus (Bactrian camel)
Lineage: Eukaryota; Metazoa; Chordata; Mammalia; Artiodactyla; Camelidae
Also listed under: 1 other name
Rfam family: tRNA
About the family: Transfer RNA (tRNA) molecules are approximately 80 nucleotides in length. Their secondary structure includes four short double-helical elements and three loops (D, anti-codon, and T loops).
Source: Rfam by way of RNAcentral